Molecule: long non-coding RNA, 1186 nt
Filed under: Equus asinus (donkey)
Lineage: Eukaryota; Metazoa; Chordata; Mammalia; Perissodactyla; Equidae
Description: lncRNA (ENSEASG00005035573.1)
Source: RNAcentral
CCAUCUGCUUACUCUCCCAGUGUUUAUUGGUUGAUAUUUAGGAGCCCCGACAUAAUUCCCCCACUCUCCCAAAGAGAACAUCUUGUUCACCAUUUGGUCCAUCAGAGAAAACAAACAAACAAAAAACCAGGGGAAAAACCCAAGACCUGACUACAUUGGAAAUCUAGUUCCUCACUAAACACCACUGUGUUUGUCCCCUUAAGAAACUUAACAUUUUAAAAUCCUUUAAAAGAUAUUUUUAAUGUUAGAAAGUGUAAAAACAAAACACAUUUUCUCCCAAAGUUAUGCUGUGUAGCCUGGCUGGGGACUGUCCUUCCCCUCCCUUUGAGAAGCCAGAGCCAUCCUAAACGGCCCGCUGGGUCACUGUGUCUCCUACUCGGUGAAGCGGGCUGUGCGGCCUUCCCUCUUCCCUUGUGUGCAACGUGGAGCUGAGGGAUCCCUUAACUGAGGGCACAGUGGAGCCCAGCCCAGAGCCCAGAAGGCUCCCCUUUGUCCCACUUCCUCUCCCUGGGCUCUGAGCCAGCUCAGACCAGAAAGCAAUCAAAGGACUUCUGAGCCCGAAAGGCCUGGGAUCAGCCCCUCCCGUCCCAGGAGUUCCUAGGAUUCUAAGUCAGGGGCAUAAGGGGACUGGACGUGGAAACCAACCCAGAAAACAAAUGCCCGGCUUCUCCGACUCUUGCUCUCCCAGUAGAGCCAGCAGGCGGAGAUAGCACCCCAGCGGGAGGACAUACAGCACCCCAGCUCCUGACCCUGGGCCAUCAGGGACUCGCAGGCAGACGGAGAGAAGGGCAAGCCAGGCCCAGGAGGUGAAAGCAGGCAGCCAGCUCAGGAAAUGCUGAGUGAGCCAAUUAAGUCCCAAGAAGAAGGAACCUUUCAGAAGGAUUUCCAGUCUGACAUUGAGGUCAAGAGAUCAUAGACCUAACUGAUUACUGCCACGGGGAAGAGAGAAGGAAGCUGAUCAGAAAAUCUCCCCUUGUUGUCACUUAGAAUGAAAGCUCCUCGGCAGCCCGCCUUUCCCGGGAGAGGCACAGGGCGCCGCAGCCAGCCAGUCGGUCAGAAGGACUGCGCAGUCACAGUGUUUGCUGAGACCUUUGUAAAUUUCUCCUGUUCCGAGAACUUCAAGUCACUCUGUCACCUGGAAAGCCCAGGUGAGUGAGCCAGCAAUGCUGCCAAUGACCAGGAGCCU